UGAGGAAUUUUCCGCAAUGGGCGAAAGCCUGACGGAGCAAUGCCGCGUGGAGGAUGAAGGCCUGUGGGUCGUAAACUCCUUUUCUCAUAGAAGAAAAAUGACGGUACAUGAGGAAUAAGCAUCGGCUAACUCCGUGCCAGCAGCCGCGGUAAUACGGAGGAUGCAAGCGUUAUCCGGAAUGAUUGGGCGUAAAGCGUCUGUAGGUGGCUUUUUAAGUCUACUGUCAAAUACCAAGGCUUAACCUUGGGCAGGCAGUGGAAACUAAAAGGCUUGAGUUGGGUAGAGGCAGAGGGAAUUCCCGGUGUAGCGGUGAAAUGCGUAGAUAUCGGGAAGAACACCGAAGGCGAAAGCACUCUGCUGGGCCUUAACUGACACUCAGAGACGAAAGCUAGGGUAGCAAAUGGGAUUAGAUACCCCCGUAGUCC
RNAcentral lists this ribosomal RNA (425 nucleotides) under uncultured prokaryote. RNAcentral's name for it is "bacterial SSU rRNA". It matches the Rfam family "Bacterial small subunit ribosomal RNA", at positions 355 to 796 of the family's 1533-position model. The record is from RNAcentral.